RNAcentral lists this long non-coding RNA (3238 nucleotides) under Callithrix jacchus (white-tufted-ear marmoset). RNAcentral describes it as "lncRNA (ENSCJAG00000080585.1)". The record is from RNAcentral. Lineage: Eukaryota; Metazoa; Chordata; Mammalia; Primates; Cebidae.
AUGGGCCUAGCCUCCCCGCCUAUAUCUUCGGAUGCUUCCUACCCUCGAACAUCGAACUCCAAGUUCUUCAGUUUUGAGACCCGGACUGGCUCUCCUUGCUCCUCAGCUUACAUGCGGCCUAUUGUGGGACCCUAUGAUCAUAUGAAGAAACAGAUCCACAGAAGUGAAGUAAGUGGCUCCACUGCCCUCCCUCACGCAGUCCAGUGGUUGUCGGUGUGCAAGUUCAUCUCUGCCCUGAACGAUGAGCUUCCUGAGAGCAAGGAAGCUUGUUCACUGUUUAGUCCCAGAUACUUAGUAUGGGCUCAGUAGAUGGGAGCCCUCACCAAUCCUUGGUGAAUAAAUAAAUGAAUGAUGAGUGAGUAGACGAAUGCAAGUUUGGCAUACCGUGGACCAUGGACGAUAAACAUGUAUUAGUACCUGUGGUGGGCAGAAUAAUCCCCACCACCCCCCAAAUCUUAAUCCCUGGAACCUGUGAAUUUGCCAUGUUACUUGGCAGAGGGAAAGGAAGGUUGCAGAUGGAAUGAAAGUUGCUAAUCAGCUGACUUUAAAAUAGGGACAUCAUCCUGGAUUAUCUAGGUGGGUCCAGAGUAAUCACGUGGGUCUUCAAAAAUGGAAGAGGGAGGCAGGAGGGAACAAAAGAAAUGGCUGGACAAUGUUGCUGAAUUUGAAGAUAGAGAAAGAGCCACAAGCCAAGGAAAGCAUGCAGCGUCUAGAAGCUGGAAAAGGGACGGAAGUGGAUUCUCCCCUACAGCUGCCAAAAGAAGGGCAGCCCUGCUGACAUCUUGAUUCCAGCCCAGAGACCCAUUUCAGACAUAGGCCCUCCAGAACUGUAAGAAAAUACAUUUGUGUUGUUUUAAAGGCAAAAAUGUGAUUUUUUUUUUUUUUUUUGAGACGGAGUUUUGCUCUGUUGCCCAGGCUGGAGUGCAAUGGUGCAAUCUCAGCACACUGCAACCUCUACCUCCUAGGAUCAAGUGAUUCUCCUGCCUCAGCCUCCCAAGUAGGUGGGAUUACAGGCAUGUGCCACCACAUCCAGCUACAUUUUUUUGUAUUUAGUAGAGUCCGGGUUUCACUAUGUUGGUCAGCAAGUCUUGAACUCCUGACCUCAGGUGAUCCACCCACUUCUACCCCCCAAUGUGCUGGAAUUACAGGUGUGAGCUGCUGCACGCAGCCCACAAACAUGAUUUUUGACAGUUGCCAAAAAAAAAAUGAAUAUAAUGCCCUAUCCCCGAUGCCAAGAAUCCCAUCUCACCUUAGCGGCCACUCCUCACCUGAUGGUUGAAUUGCACUGGGGUAUUGCUAUAAACACCCACUUACUAUCAGGAAAGAUGUGUAGGAAAAAAGUGCUUUUAAAAAAAUUUAUAUAUUGGAGUCUAAUGGGGAGGUGUCAAGGUGGGACAGAAUUUGGUCCUGAGACAGAACUAUUGGUUCAGCAGGUUGGGCUGGGUGGAUCACAGUGACACCAGGAGCCUUCUAGAGAAGGGAGUCACAGGCUGGUGAGUGAGCAGUGAUGCUGAACAGGUAGACGUCAGCAUCUUGGGACCACCUAUGGCCUCAGGCUGGGGUCCCUGCAUAAUCAUUAGGGCCACCAUGCAUUGAAUCUAGACCCUCUGCCAGACAGGAUCCUAAGCCUCCCACAACAUCAGCACAACAGUCCAUUAUGUAGGCCCCAUGAUGUGCCUGCCUGCCAGAGGAAAGAACAGUCAGCCCUCGUGUACUCCUCCACCGUGCCAGACACUGUUCCAAGAGUGGCACAUCCUUAACCCAUUCAGUCCUCAUAACAGCCCCAUGUGAUGGCUCCCAUCGUUGUCCCCAGUUUACAGAUUGGGAAACUGAGGCCUAGAAAGGAAGUCACUUGCCCACUCGCACAGCCAGCAAUUGGGUCUGAACAAAGGCAGUGUGGCCCUAGGCUCUCUGUUCUUUUUCUUUUUUCGUUUUUGAGACAGGAUCUCCCACUGUCACCCAGGCUGGAGUGCAGUGGUGCAAUCAGGGUUCACUGCAGCCUUGACCUCCUGGGCUCAAGCAAUUCCUCCCGCCUCAGCCUUCAGAAGUGCUGAGAUUACAGGCCUGAGCAACCGCACUCAGCUGUGGGUCUCUUUUCUUAACCACUAUGCUUUACUGCCUCUUUAGAUGGAAUAAUAAUUAUUUCAUAAUUAUAUAUCUGUUAAUAUAAUAGUUUAAAAAUUGAAUGGCCAGGCGCAGUGGCUCUCGCCUGUAAUCCCAGCACUUUGGGAGGCCAAGGUGGGCAGAUCACCUGAACUCAGGAGUUUGAGACCAGCCUGAUCAACAUGACAAAACCCCAUCUAUACUAAUACAAAACAUUAGCUGGGCCUGGUAGUGCAUGCCUGUAAUCCCAGCUACUCGGAAGGCUGAGGUAGGAGAAUUGUUUAAACCUGGGAAGCAGAGGUUGCGGUAAACUGAGAUUACGCCGUUGCACUCCAGCCUGGGCAACAAGAGCAAAACUCCGUCUCAAAAAAAAAAAAUUAAAUAAUUAUGGUACCAAAAUAUGCCAUUUUAGCACAUUGGUUAUUUUGAGCUGAAGUCAACUGAGAAGAAGCAGAUACAAGAAGAACUCUCUGGCCUCCCCCUAUUUGCCUAAAAGCAGGAUAUAAAUUUGUAAAGGUGUCUCUUCUUCGCUCUCUCCCAGGAAGAACAGAAGUUAAUCAACAUAGACAACUUUGGACCCUUAGCCAGAGGGCACCAGAGGAAUCUACAAAACAAACCUGAUUCACCCACCCCAUCCUCCCUUAGUUUCUCCAUGUAUUUACCCUCCCACAACUUGCCUCCCUAGAAGCUCUAAUUCUUUUCACUUUGUCUUGUCACUUCUCUAAUAAUUUAUCGUUCUUCUGUCAGGAUGCUGCAUCAGCCCAAGUUCUAACCACUCCUUUGAGUUACUCAUCCUUGUAACGUGUGUGUGAUGCACAUGUUCAUACACUUCUGCUUUUUUUUUGUUAAUCUGUCUUUGUCAGCCUUGUUUACAGGAUCCCGGCCAGAAAUCAAGGAGGAGAGAAGGAAAAAUCAUCUUUCUUUUCUCCCCUACAAUACCACCUCCCAUUUGGAUCAGGCCUUUCUGUUUAUGACACAUUCUCCUGUUUUCUCUUGUCAUCCUCCCAGUGGCUGGUUAUGAUGAUGAGUGCCCUUGGCUCUCAUUUUGGGAAAUAGCACAGAGAGGGAGACACUUAGUCAUCCACAAUCCGAGACAAGAGUGGGAUUCCUUCUGGGGUCUCCUGCCUCCAAGUGC